RNAcentral lists this ribosomal RNA (263 nucleotides) under uncultured bacterium. RNAcentral's name for it is "partial 16S ribosomal RNA". It matches the Rfam family "Bacterial small subunit ribosomal RNA", at positions 95 to 354 of the family's 1533-position model. The record is from RNAcentral.
CCGGCGCACGGGUGAGUAACACGUAUGCAACCUGGCCGUGACAGAUGGAUAACCGGGAGAAAUCCCGCCUAAUACAGCAUGACGCCGGGAAGGGACAUCCCUUUCCGGCCAAAGGGGGCGACUCCGGUCAUGGAUGGGCAUGCGGCGCAUUAGGUAGUUGGUGGGGCAACGGCCCACCAAGCCGACGAUGCGUAGGGGUUCUGAGAGGAAGGUCCCCCACAUUGGAACUGAGACACGGUCCAAACUCCUACGGGAGGCAGCAG